GUUAGCAAUUUCCCCAGAUUGGAUAUAUCCUUAUGAUAUGUUCAAUGAAAUUGCAAACUUAAAGAUGGUCAGUUGUGCUGAGAUCAUAUAGAUCCUUUUAGUUUGGACAUGAAGCUAAUUUAGUUCAUUAGCUUCAUUCAAGAAUGCCAAAAAGCUUAAUCAUCAUGCACCAGGAAAGGGCUUAAAGACACUUGCAAUAGGUGAAACUAGCGUACGAGCUAUAGAGACAAGAAACAUUGUAGACCAAGAAAUACUUGACCAUCUGUAGAAAUGUACACUCUAAUCUACAAACUCAUAUACGUUCAAUGCUAUGCAUGUACUUCCAGUAUAUCCAGCUGAUUAUUAAAUGUUUGACACUGAUUAUUAAAUGUUUGACACUUAUAUUGUCUGUGUGAUUUUGCUGUCUAUUUCUGGUUUACACUGCAGCUUUUUCUGAUGACAGUCCACGCAUUUUCAAUAUGUAUACACUAUUCACUUAGUUAAUUGAAGUACUUUCAUGCUCCAUCACUUCCAGGAUCUGUUUUUUUGAAGACAAGAUUAGAGGGACCAGCUCAUCUCCCUGAUGCAUAACAGUGCCUAAGCUAGAGCAGCGAGCUUAUUUGCCAUUUAGCUUUAUAGUUGGUUCUGAAACACACUUGCACUGGGUAGUCUAUGCUGAAUCGUUUUGUGUUAUGCAUUUUCUAUGUAAGUGGAAUGCCAUAUAAUCAGUCUAUGAAUGGUUUAUUUGGCCACUGCCUAAGAAUAAGAAUAAUAAUGAAUCACACUGACAAUUAGUCUUACUGAAUUGUACAUUUGGUGAUGCAUGCUAAAUCCCAGAGAGAAUGAUUACAUGUUCACAAACAACAUCAGUCCAAACAAGGCUAAAUGCUGUGAAUAGCUGACAUGGCCUCCUACUUUGCUGUCAAUUUUCUUCCAUUAGGAUUUAUUUCCCUGCAAAACAUUUGGUCUUCUUUUUAUUAGUCUUCUUGCUAUCCGACUGUAAAGCACGCUUUUCGCUAGGAUUAUGCAUUCCUGUCAAUUUUUGUGAUUAACCAGCUCUCUAAACGGCCAUUAUUUGUUGAACACUUGGCGGUGAGCAUGAGAUGGACGACAGGUUUGUCUAAAUGCUCCUGUUGGCGAGCCCAAGAGUCUCCCAAAUCUCUUUCAGUUGCCAAAUGGCAUGUAAAUCACACAUCUGUCUUGAUAAAGAGGGUCAUCACAUUGUUCCAAGCACUUCUUGACGGGAACAGAGUGGGGAUGGCAAAAAGAGCAAUGGUGAAUCAGAUGUCAGAGGACGGGAAGAUGAUGCGUGUGCUCAACUGACUCGGAAGGGAAGCCUUGGUACUGAUAAGCUAAGCUAGAUGUGGAGGCAGCCUGGGUACUGACGAGCUGAACUAAGAUGCGGAAGGCCAAUCUGGAACUAAAGCAAGAAGGUGUAUAUAAAGGGAACCAACAGAUGAAAGAUGUGUAGCUGUUUCGGCUUCCUCCUUCCAUGCCCAAAAAAUGUUCUCAUGCCAUAUUAACAUGUUUGAUAG
Long non-coding RNA from Lolium rigidum, 1514 nucleotides. RefSeq lists it as uncharacterized. The transcript has 3 exons. The record is from RefSeq and is a predicted model, not a curated record. NCBI's taxonomy places the organism in Eukaryota, Viridiplantae, Streptophyta, Magnoliopsida, Poales, Poaceae.